AUCGCUUCUCGGCCUUUUGGCUAAGAUCAAGUGUAGUUUCUGUUCUUAUCAGUUUAAUAUCUGAUACGUCCCCUAUCUGGGGACCAUAUAUUAAAUUGUUUUUUGGAAUAGGGAGAUGGAAUAGGGGCUUGCGCCGUCCACUCCACGCAUCGACCUGGUAUUGCAGUAUCUCCAGGAAAGGUGCACCCUCU
This 191-nucleotide small nuclear RNA is filed under the name Oncorhynchus mykiss (rainbow trout). RNAcentral describes it as "U2 spliceosomal RNA (ENSOMYG00000066302.1)". It matches the Rfam family "U2 spliceosomal RNA". Rfam says of the family: U2 is a small nuclear RNA (snRNA) component of the spliceosome (involved in pre-mRNA splicing). Lineage: Eukaryota; Metazoa; Chordata; Actinopteri; Salmoniformes; Salmonidae. The record is from RNAcentral.